This is a long non-coding RNA of Musa acuminata AAA Group (dessert banana), 710 nucleotides long. RefSeq lists it as uncharacterized. Lineage: Eukaryota; Viridiplantae; Streptophyta; Magnoliopsida; Zingiberales; Musaceae. The transcript has 3 exons. The record is from RefSeq and is a predicted model, not a curated record.
UAUCAUCCCUUGAAGCCAACCAGCUAGUAGAUAUCCUUCCCUCGCUCAAAGGUCGAGCCCUAGAUGUGGAGAAUGGAAGACGAGGGUUUGGAUCACUUGGUUGUAAUGGGAGGGCCGUCGGCCAUCGGUUCUGUCAUCAUCCUCGGCAGUGCACCAGAUUGGCUGCAUGAAGAAGAAAGGUUCGCCUUUGGAGUCAACAGCGAAGGUUCUAUCCUCGCUGACCUUUCUUAUUGUUAGCUUCGGAACGGUGCUAUCCUCGCUGAGCUUCUCCCCUCCUGAAUCCUUCUCCUCAUUUCUUCCCUUGCAAGUCUUCUUGACCUUGUAAGACCUUUUCUUGGCCUUGUAAGACCUAAUCGGUCGAUCUUCGCCGUCAUCUCCUUCUUCAUCCCAGGCUUCUUACCCGUUCUUUCGUUUCAUCUCUUCUCGCUUCCCACUUGCCCUCUUCUCCAGUCUAUCCCUCUUGAGCUAUUUAGGGUAUUUCCUUCUACUCCGUCAUCCAUGAAAAUUAGUUUUUGUAUCUUGCGUUCAGAGGAGAUAUGCCUUGCAGCCGUCUGCUUCCUUCGUCUCACAGGCUCUAAUAUUCUUCUCGUGACCAGUUGAGUUUGUCGCAAUGUACAGAGUGUUGGAUUAUUUGCGUUUCUUUUGUAUGUUAGUUUUCGCUGUAUCCACUGCAACUCUAUUCGGUAAAGGCCUUUUGGUGUGUUGUGAAA